AUACGUAGGGAGCGAGCGUUGUCCGGAAUUACUGGGUGUAAAGGGAGCGUAGGCGGGAUGGCAAGUCAGAUGUGAAAACUAUGGGCUCAACCCAUAGACUGCAUUUGAAACUGUUGUUCUUGAGUGAAGUAGAGGUAAGCGGAAUUCCUGGUGUAGCGGUGAAGUGCGUAGAUAUCAGGAGGAACAUCGGUGGCGAAGGCGGCUUACUGGGCUUUUACUGACGCUGAGGCUCGAAAGCGUGGGGAGCAAACAGGAUUAGAUACCCUGGUAGUCCACGCUGUAAACGAUGAUUACUAGGUGUGGGGGGACUGACCCCUUCCGUGCCGCAGUUAACACAAUAAGUAUUCCACCUGGGGAGUACGAUCGCAAGAUUGAAACUCAAAUGAAUUGACGGGG
This 396-nucleotide ribosomal RNA is filed under the name uncultured bacterium. RNAcentral describes it as "partial 16S ribosomal RNA". It matches the Rfam family "Bacterial small subunit ribosomal RNA", at positions 523 to 918 of the family's 1533-position model. The record is from RNAcentral.